RNAcentral lists this ribosomal RNA (383 nucleotides) under uncultured eukaryote. RNAcentral's name for it is "partial 18S ribosomal RNA". It matches the Rfam family "Eukaryotic small subunit ribosomal RNA", at positions 592 to 976 of the family's 1831-position model. The record is from RNAcentral.
CAAUAGCGUAUAUUAAAGUUGUUGCAGUUAAAAAGCUCGUAGUUGGAUUUCUGGUAGGAGCGACCGUGCCGAACUUGAUUGUUCGAGUAUUGUGUUGUCUUCAGCCAUCCUCGUGGAGAACUUUUCUAACAUUAACUUGUUGGGAUUGGGACCCGCGUCGUUUACUGUGAAAAAAUUAGAGUGUUUAAAGCAGGCAUUAGCUUGAAUACAUUAGCAUGGAGUAAUAAGAUAGGACUUUGGUACUAUUUUGUUGGUUUGCAUACCAAAUUAAUGAUCAACAGGAACAGUUUGAGGAUAUUCGUAUGAACAUGUCAGAGGUGAAAUUCUUGGAUUUUGAUCAGACGAACUACUGCGAAAGCAUUUAUCAAGGAUGUUUUCAUUAA